AAAAAUUGAAACUUCGCCUGAAUGGUUGCCACGUGUCCCACUAAAGUACUUUGAAAAAAAGAAGGGAGAAGCCUUUUCUUCUUGUUCUCUGUAACUCGCCCUAUUCUCAGUAAUUGAAGCACUGGCAACUUAGGGUUGGCGACUGCCGACUUAGGGUUGCCAACUAACGAAAAGUCAUUUUCCUUUUCUCCUUGUUCUCAGCGACUAGCGACUUAGGGUUGGCGAGUGGCGGCUUACGGUUGGCGACUGGCAAGAGAAGAGAUCGUGUGGAGAAAAAUCUAGGGUUUCUUUGAAAUUGUAGAACUACAGCGAGGAUUAUCACUACCUGCGGAUUUAGUUAAUCGAGAAACUAUUUCAGAACCCCUCCUGGAGAAGUGAAGUUAUAAGUGAUGAAAGAAAUAGCUAAAGAAUGUCAGACUGACUAGUAUACUUGAAACCUUGGUUUGGAAAAUUAUGUCUUUUUUUUUUUUUCCUGAAGCACCUAUAAAUACUCCGGCCUUAAUAUUUGAUUUUGGAUUGCUGAUACGCUAUGAUAAGACAGAUGAGUGCAAAGAGUGAUGUUUAUAGCUUUGGUCUUGUCCCGCUGGAACUCUUAAUUGGGCGGAAGCCUGUUAAUCAUACUCUGUCGCGUGAGCAGCAGAGCCUUGUGACAUGCGCAACUCCAAAACUCAGUGAAGAUAAGGUGAAGCAAUUCGGUGACGUUAAGUUAAAUAGAGAGAAUAGCCUCUUAAGGCAGUUGCAAAGGUACUGAAGAUGGUAACUUUGACUGAAAAUAAUAGAUCAAAUUCGACCUUUCUUGGCGCAAGAGCAAAGGAUUGUGAAGAAGGUUUUGAAAUUCUAGAAAGCAAAGGAAAAUCAAGCUUCAAGGAGCUAGCAAGCGGGAGGUUGAAAGCAAAACUUUUUGGAUUUUAAGAAAUGAAUGAGAAACUGGAAAAACUUCUUUCUUUU
Molecule: long non-coding RNA, 948 nt
Organism: Pistacia vera
Lineage: Eukaryota; Viridiplantae; Streptophyta; Magnoliopsida; Sapindales; Anacardiaceae
Exons: 3
Source: RefSeq, a predicted model, not a curated record